GCUCUUUUGCGAUGUGGUCAACGCAUGUGACUCUUAUCCGGGAAUCUGGGGUUCAAUUCCCCGCGGGAGCC
Non-coding RNA from Gymnothorax javanicus (giant moray), 71 nucleotides. The record is from the annotation of a GenBank genome assembly. NCBI's taxonomy places the organism in Eukaryota, Metazoa, Chordata, Actinopteri, Anguilliformes, Muraenidae.